CCUUGUCUCGCGGGGUGCCCGAAUGGGCUGAGAGGCGUGCAAGCCAACCCGUCGAACCUGAUCCGGAUCGUACCGGCGGAGGGAUCGAGAUGACGGCGUUGA
This 102-nucleotide non-coding RNA is filed under the name Pseudoxanthobacter soli. RNAcentral's name for it is "TPP sequence". It matches the Rfam family "TPP riboswitch aptamer (THI element)". From Rfam's summary of the family: Vitamin B(1) in its active form thiamin pyrophosphate (TPP) is an essential coenzyme that is synthesised by coupling of pyrimidine and thiazole moieties in bacteria. RNAcentral also lists the same sequence under 1 other name. The record is from RNAcentral. Lineage: Bacteria; Pseudomonadati; Pseudomonadota; Alphaproteobacteria; Hyphomicrobiales; Segnochrobactraceae.